Molecule: ribosomal RNA, 442 nt
Filed under: uncultured bacterium
Lineage: Bacteria
Description: partial 16S ribosomal RNA
Rfam family: Bacterial small subunit ribosomal RNA
Source: RNAcentral
CCUACGGGUGGCAGCAGUAGGGAAUCUUUCACAAUGGACGAAAGCCUGAUGGAGCAACGCCGCGUGCAUGAUGAAGGCCUUCGGGUUGUAAACUGCUGUUAUAAGCGAGAAAUAUGAUGGUAACUUAUGAAUAAGUAUCGGCUAACUACGUACCAGCAGCCGCCGUCAUACGUAGGAUCCGAGCAUUAUCCGGAGUGACUGGGUGUAAAGAGUUGCGUAGGUGGCAUAAUAAGUAGCUAGUGAAAUCUGGUGGCUCAACCAUUCAGACUAUUAGCUAAACUGUUAAGCUCGAGACCGUUAGGGGUAACUGGAAUUUCUAGUGUAGGAGUGGAAUGCGUAGAUAUUAGAAGGAACACCAGUAGCGUAGGCAGGUUGCUGGGACGGUUCUGACACUAAGGCACGAAAGCGUAGGGAGCGAACGGGAUUAGAUACCCGUGUAGUC